AACGAACGCUGGCGGCAGGCUUAACACAUGCAAGUCGAACGGACGUAGCAAUACGUUAGUGGCGCACGGGAGAGUAACACGUGGGAACCUACCUUUUAGUUCGGGAUAACGUCGGGAAACUGACGCUAAUACCGGAUACGCCACAAGGGGGAAAGAGUUAUCGCUAAAAGAUGGGCCCGCGCUAGAUUAGCUUGUUGGUGAGGUAAUGGCUCACCAAGGCUACGAUCUAUAGCUGGUCUGAGAGGAUGACCAGCCUCACUGGGACUGAGACACGGCCCAGACUCCUACGGGAGGCAGCAGUGGGGAAUAUUGGACAAUGGGGGAAACCCUGAUCCAGCCAUGCCGCGUGAAUGAUGAAGGCCUUCGGGUUGUAAAGUUCUUUUGGAGGGGACGAUGAUGACGGUACCCUCAGAAUAAGCUCCGGCUAACUUCGUGCCAGCCGCCGCCGUAA
Molecule: ribosomal RNA, 451 nt
Filed under: uncultured bacterium
Lineage: Bacteria
Description: partial 16S ribosomal RNA
Rfam family: Bacterial small subunit ribosomal RNA
Source: RNAcentral